RNAcentral lists this ribosomal RNA (253 nucleotides) under uncultured bacterium. RNAcentral describes it as "partial 16S ribosomal RNA". It matches the Rfam family "Bacterial small subunit ribosomal RNA", at positions 524 to 776 of the family's 1533-position model. The record is from RNAcentral.
UACGUAGGGUGCAAGCGUUGUCCGGAAUUAUUGGGCGUAAAGAGCUCGUAGGCGGUCUGUCGCGUCGGCUGUGAAAACUCGGGGCUCAACUCCGAGCUUGCAGUCGAUACGGGCAGGCUAGAGUUCGGCAGAGGAGACUGGAAUUCCUGGUGUAGCGGUGAAAUGCGCAGAUAUCAGGAGGAACACCGGUGGCGAAGGCGGGUCUCUGGGCCGAUACUGACGCUGAGGAGCGAAAGCGUGGGGAGCGAACAGG